ACAUCGGAUAGUGGAGCGGUCGUCGAUCAGGGACUCAUCACCAUCCAUCACCUGAAGAAGAGAAAGUCGAGCGCGAGAGCGAACAUCACUCUGUCUGG
Molecule: long non-coding RNA, 98 nt
Organism: Micropterus salmoides (largemouth bass)
Lineage: Eukaryota; Metazoa; Chordata; Actinopteri; Centrarchiformes; Centrarchidae
Exons: 2
Source: RefSeq, a predicted model, not a curated record